Molecule: ribosomal RNA, 270 nt
Filed under: uncultured archaeon
Lineage: Archaea
Description: partial 16S ribosomal RNA
Rfam family: Archaeal small subunit ribosomal RNA
Source: RNAcentral
CAGCACCUCAAGUGGGCAGGAUGAUUAUUGGGCCUAAAGCAUCCGUAGCCGGCUCUGUAAGUUUUCGGUUAAAUCCGUACGCUCAACGUACAGGCUGCCGGGAAUACUGCAGAGCUAGGGAGUGGGAGAGGUAGACGGUACUCGGUAGGAAGGGGUAAAAUCCUUUGAUCUAUUGAUGACCACCUGUGGCGAAGGCGGUCUACCAGAACACGUCCGACGGUGAGGGAUGAAAGCUGGGGGAGCAAACCGGAUUAGAGACCCGAGUAGUCC